AUUGAUAAUAUGUUAUCUACGUCGGAUGGUUGGCGUUAACCAUUAAUACCAAAAACUCGAGCUGUGAGAAAUACGUAAUUCAUUUAAAACGUAUAAACACAGCACUUACGAGUCUCGAUUAAUUGUAACUCAGCUCAACCAGCCUUAUACUAUUUCUAACAUGAUUUGACCCAACCCGCCUCCCAUUAUUUCGAACGUGACUUAACUCAAUCUGUCCCUCCGUAUAGGAUGCCGACUCUUUUAAGCCAACGAUCUAAUUAACCUAGCUACUCUUA
Molecule: long non-coding RNA, 275 nt
Filed under: Ananas comosus (pineapple)
Lineage: Eukaryota; Viridiplantae; Streptophyta; Magnoliopsida; Poales; Bromeliaceae
Description: long non-coding RNA (ACOM_LNC029898)
Source: RNAcentral